RNAcentral lists this ribosomal RNA (422 nucleotides) under uncultured bacterium. Its description in RNAcentral is "bacterial SSU rRNA". It matches the Rfam family "Bacterial small subunit ribosomal RNA", at positions 355 to 774 of the family's 1533-position model. The record is from RNAcentral.
CGAGGAAUAUUGGUCAAUGGGGGCAACCCUGAACCAGCCAAGUCGCGUGAAGGAUGAAGGUCUUAUGGAUUGUAAACUUCUUUUAUACAGGAAUAAAUUGGGGGACGUGUCCCCUUUUGCAUGUACUGUAUGAAUAAGGAUCGGCUAACUCCGUGCCAGCAGCCGCGGUAAUACGGAGGAUCCGAGCGUUAUCCGGAUUUAUUGGGUUUAAAGGGUGCGCAGGCGGGAUGUUAAGUCGGCGGUGAAAUUUUGCAGCUCAACUGUAAAAGUGCCUUCGAUACUGGCCUCCUUGAGUGUGGAUGAAGUAGGCGGAAUUUGUGGUGUAGCGGUGAAAUGCUUAGAUAUCACGAGGAACUCCGAUUGCGCAGGCAGCUUACUAAGCCACAACUGACGCUCAUGCACGAAGGCGUGGGGAUCAAACA